GUAAAGCAUAGCGCCACCAGCUAACUUCCGAUUGGUUCCUUGUCACAAGACAGGCAUCUGACCUCUAAGUGACUAAGGUUCCUUGUCACGAGACAGGCAUCUGACCUCUACGUGACCAAGGCAGGUUUAUGGCAAGCACGUGUUCGGCUGUUAUGGCUGCCAAAAGGAAGCUGGUUCCUUCAGUACAGUCCUGGGCUUGUUGCUCUUAAUCUUUGAAACAAUGGGUGGAGAUCAUAAUUACAACCAUGGAUUUUCAAAAGGAUCGGAGAAGGUAAAGCGUGAGAAUUACGUAUGUAUUUCAUUUAAUAAUCCUCUGACCUCUGUCAGAGCAUCCUGAGACUAAUGGAUAAAAACCCAUUGGCGUCUAGUCACUGAGCCACCCACUGGGCUCCAACUAAAAGCACAGGAGCUGGUCGUUCAAAGAAAGACCUGCUACAUCUGGUUCAAGGUUUCCGGUAUCUGAAGCACCAGAAACAGUGUUGCUGAGACUCUUCUAGGAUAUGCUGCUAUUGCCCAGAGCUUCUCAGAGCUGCCAUGCAGUCCCGAGGGUGCUGGCAGCCCCCACCAUCCUGAAGGCUUAUCAAGACUUACAUAGCCUUCAACAGCCUUCCCUGUUCAGGAUCCAUUCGUACUGAUGUUUGUGACUUAAUGGAAUCCCUUCAUGUCUCAAAAGAAGUGACUCUUCCCUCGGGAUAAAGGGUCCGCCCUAGAAGACUAAUUAGGUUCAAUUGCUGUGAUGAAGACCAUGACCAAAAGCAACUUGGACAGGGAAAAAUGUGUUUGCCUUUCAUAUACUGGGCCAUUGAGAGAAACCAAGACAAAAGCCUAGAGACAGGAACUGAAGGAGAAGCUGCUUAAUGGCUAACUCCCCAUGGCUUGUUCAGACUGUUUUCUUGGAUCACCCAGGGCAACCUGCUCAAGGAUGGUGUCAUCUACAGUAAGCUGGACCUUCCCACAUCAGUCAUCAGUCAAGAAAAUGCCUCCAUAGACAUACACCGGGCCUGUGCAUAUUGUCAUAACCAUGACAGCUGUCCUGUUGUGUCAGGAGAACAUAGUUCCUUUGUAUUUACUUAUUGACUACCUCUUACUCUCCCAGACUUCCCUCCCCCUCUUCAGCAAUGAUCCAUGCACCUUGGGAAGAGAGGGUACAGCAUGGAUGUUUCAUUUAGGGGUGAACAUUCCACAGGCCCUAGUUCUCUGCACUUUGGCCAGUAUGUUGGUCUCUGACUGCUGUAAAUUUUUCUGAAGAGGGUUGAGAGAUACAUUAAUCUGUGUCUCCUGUCAUGUGGGCAGUAGAGCUGUUUGUUUCUGAGACAAGGUUAGAGAGGUGAAAUGGUACCAAAUAGAUGACAUUUGAACAAUAAUCAAAAAGAAGGAAGGGAAUGAACUAUUCUCAGCCUGCUCUGUAUGAUUCCAGUUAGUGGGUUAUGUUAGUAAGAAGAGUCAUGGGCUCGUGACAAUUGUGAAACUAUCCUAGUGUUACACUGAGUGAGGUUCUAGGUUCUGUAAAAUAUGAAUAUCUUGACUAAUACUGUCUAUGCAGGGCCAGGGAUGUAGAUGUAUGUAAUAGAACAAGUUUGUAAAACAAGUCAUUUCAUUUAUUUUCCUUUAUGAAUUUUAUUUUAUGUGAUGGGACAGAACAAAUUCCAGCCUGGAAAGGGAGGUGAGCUUUAAGGCCCAUCUGCAGCCCAGGAGCUCAGGGCAACUGAUAGCCACAGGAAGGAGGGAAGUCACCCUUCUUUCAGAGUGUUACCACUGGUAUGUCACCUGCACUCCAGUGGAAGGCCACAUAUCCAAGAAUAUAUGGAUGAUGCAAAUUGGACUCUGUGUGUUCUUUUUGUUUUGUUUUUAAGAGGACACAAAGUUGGGUAGGUAGGGAAGAGGAGUUGGUUCUGGG
This 1897-nucleotide long non-coding RNA is filed under the name Cricetulus griseus (Chinese hamster). Its description in RNAcentral is "lncRNA (ENSCGRG00015036901.1)". Lineage: Eukaryota; Metazoa; Chordata; Mammalia; Rodentia; Cricetidae. The record is from RNAcentral.